Molecule: ribosomal RNA, 273 nt
Filed under: uncultured bacterium
Lineage: Bacteria
Description: partial 16S ribosomal RNA
Rfam family: Bacterial small subunit ribosomal RNA
Source: RNAcentral
CACGUAGGGGGCAAGCGUUGUCCGGAAUCACUGGGCGUAAAGCGCGCGUAGGCGGUUUUGCAAGUCAGAGGUGAAAACCGGCAGCUCAACUGCAGGCUGGCCUCUGAAACUGCAAGGCUUGAGGACAGGAGAGGGGAGUGGAAUUCCCAGUGUAGCGGUGAAAUGCGUAGAUAUUGGGAGGAACACCAGUGGCGAAGGCGGCUCCCUGGCCUGUAACUGACGCUGAGGCGCGAAAGCGUGGGGAUCAAACAGGAUUAGAAACCCGCGUAGUCC